GACGAACGCUGGCGGCGUGCUUAACACAUGCAAGUCGAACGGAAAGGCCCUGCUUCUGUGGGGUGCUCGAGUGGCGAACGGGUGAGUAACACGUGAGUAACCUGCCCUUGACUUUGGGAUACUUCAGGAAACUGGGGCUAAUACCGGAUAGGAGCUCCUGCUGCAUGGUGGGGGUUGGAAAGUUUCGGCGGUUGGGGAUGGACUCGCGGCUUAUCAGCUUGUUGGUGGGGUAGUGGCUUACCAAGGCUUUGACGGGUAGCCGGCCUGAGAGGGUGACCGGCCACAUUGGGACUGAGAUACGGCCCAGACUCCUACGGGAGGCAGCAGUGGGGAAUAUUGCACAAUGGGCGGAAGCCUGAUGCAGCAACGCCGCGUGCGGGAUGACGGCCUUCGGGUUGUAAACCGCUUUCGCCUGUGACGAAGCGUGAGUGACGGUAAUGGGUAAAGAAGCACCGGCUAACUACGUG
RNAcentral lists this ribosomal RNA (467 nucleotides) under uncultured bacterium. RNAcentral describes it as "partial 16S ribosomal RNA". It matches the Rfam family "Bacterial small subunit ribosomal RNA", at positions 28 to 507 of the family's 1533-position model. The record is from RNAcentral.